UAGGGAAUUUUCGUCAAUGGGGGAAACCCUGAACGAGCAAUGCCGCGUGAGUGAAGAAGGUCUUCGGAUCGUAAAGCUCUGUUGUAAGUGAAGAACGGCUCAUAGAGGAAAUGCUAUGGGAGUGACGGUAGCUUACCAGAAAGCCACGGCUAACUACGUGCCAGCAGCCGCGGUAAUACGUAGGUGACAAGCGUUAUCCGGAAUCAUUGGGCGUAAAGGGUGCGUAGGUGGCGUACUAAGUCUGUAGUAAAAGGCAAUGGCUCAACCAUUGUAAGCUAUGGAAACUGGUAUGCUGGAGUGCAGAAGAGGGCGAUGGAAUUCCAUGUGUAGCGGUAAAAUGCGUAGAUAUAUGGAGGAACACCAGUGGCGAAGGCGGUCGCCUGGUCUGUAACUGACACUGAGGCACGAAAGCGUGGGGAGCAAAUAGG
This 428-nucleotide ribosomal RNA is filed under the name Acidobacteriota bacterium. RNAcentral describes it as "Acidobacteria bacterium partial 16S ribosomal RNA". It matches the Rfam family "Bacterial small subunit ribosomal RNA", at positions 355 to 776 of the family's 1533-position model. The record is from RNAcentral. Lineage: Bacteria; Pseudomonadati; Acidobacteriota.